GAUCCAGUGGAGACGCAGUGGGGCCUGUAGAUUAGAGCACGUGGCUACGAACCACGGUGUCGGGGGUUCGAAUCCCUCCUCGCCCAC
Molecule: small RNA, 87 nt
Filed under: Helianthus annuus (common sunflower)
Lineage: Eukaryota; Viridiplantae; Streptophyta; Magnoliopsida; Asterales; Asteraceae
Description: hypothetical non coding rna
Rfam family: tRNA (bases 21-86)
About the family: Transfer RNA (tRNA) molecules are approximately 80 nucleotides in length. Their secondary structure includes four short double-helical elements and three loops (D, anti-codon, and T loops). Further hydrogen bonds mediate the characteristic L-shaped molecular structure. tRNAs have two regions of fundamental functional importance: the anti-codon, which is responsible for specific mRNA codon recognition, and the 3' end, to which the tRNAs corresponding amino acid is attached (by aminoacyl-tRNA synthetases). tRNAs cope with the degeneracy of the genetic code in two manners: having more than one tRNA (with a specific anti-codon) for a particular amino acid; and 'wobble' base-pairing, i.e. permitting non-standard base-pairing at the 3rd anti-codon position.
Source: RNAcentral